AACGAACGCUGGCGGCAUGCCUAACACAUGCAAGUCGAACGAGACCUUCGGGUCUAGUGGCGCUCGGGUGCUUAACGCGUGGGAAGUUGCCCUUAGGUUCGGAAUACCUCCCUGUAAGGGGUGCUAAUACCGGUUAAUGUCAUCGGACCAAAGAUUUGUCGCUUGUGGAUGGGCGGGCGUCUGAUUCGCUAGUUGGUGGGGUAGUGGCCUACCAUGGCGUUGAUGGGUAGGCGGUCUGAGAGGAUGACCGGCCACACUGGGACUGAGAUACGGCCCAGACUCCUACGGGAGGCAGCAGUGGGGAAUAUUGCACAAUGGGCGGAAGCCUGAUGCAGCAACGCCGCGUGCGGGAUGACGGCCUUCGGGUUGUAAACCGCUUUCGCCUGUGACGAAGCGUGAGUGACGGUAAUGGGUAAAGAAGCACCGGCUAACUACGUG
RNAcentral lists this ribosomal RNA (438 nucleotides) under uncultured bacterium. Its description in RNAcentral is "partial 16S ribosomal RNA". It matches the Rfam family "Bacterial small subunit ribosomal RNA", at positions 29 to 507 of the family's 1533-position model. The record is from RNAcentral.